CAAUAGCGUAUAUUAAAGUUGUUGCGGUUAAAAGCUCGUAGUUGGAUUUCUGCCGAGGACGACUGGUCCGCCCUCUGGGUGAGCAUCUAGUUCGGCCUGGGCAUCUUCUUGGAGAACGUAGCUGCACUUGACUGUGUGGUGCGGUAUCCAGGACUUUUACUUUGAGGAAAUUAGAGUGUUUCAAGCAGGCGUCUGCCUUGAAUACAUUAGCAUGGAAUGAUGAUAUAGGGCCUCGGUCCAUUUUUGUCGGUUCCUUGGACUGAUGCAAUGAUAAACAGGGACAGUUGGGGGCAUUCGUAUUUAACUGUCAGAGGUGAAAUUCUUAGAUUUGUUAAAGACGAACUACUGCGAAAGCAUUUGCCAAGGAUGUUUUCAUUGAUCAAGAACGAAAGUUAGGGGAUCGAAGAUGAUCAGAUACC
Molecule: ribosomal RNA, 419 nt
Filed under: uncultured eukaryote
Lineage: Eukaryota
Description: bacterial SSU rRNA
Rfam family: Eukaryotic small subunit ribosomal RNA
Source: RNAcentral